AGAGUUUCAUCCUGGCUCAGGAUGAACGCUAGCGGCAGGCCUAACACAUGCAAGUCGAACGGUAACAGCAGAGCUUGCUCUGGCUGACGAGUGGCGCACGGGUGCGUAACGCGUAUGCAACUUACCCCAAACUGGAGAAUAGCCUUUCGAAAGGAAGAUAAUACUCCAUAGUAUUUCCCCAUGGCAUCAUGGGGUUCUUAAAGCUUCGGCGGUUUGGGAUGGGCAUGCGUUCUAUUAGUUAGUUGGUGAGGUAACGGCUCACCAAGACCACGAUAGAUAGGGGGCCUGAGAGGGUUAUCCCCCACACUGGUACUGAGACACGGACCAGACUCCUACGGGAGGCAGCAGUGAGGAAUAUUGCACAAUGGACGAAAGUCUGAUGCAGCCAUGCCGCGUGCAGGAUGAAUGCCCUACGGGUUGUAAACUGCUUUUAUAUGGGAAGAAACCGUUCUACGUGUAGAACCUUGACGGUACCAUAUGAAUAAGGAUCGGCUAACUCCGUGCCAGCAGCCGCGGUAAUACGGAGGAUCCAAGCGUUAUCCGGAUUUAUUGGGUUUAAAGGGUUCGUAGGCGGAUUAAUAAGUCAGAGGUGAAAUCCUGCAGCUCAACUGUAGAACUGCCUUUGAAACUGUUAGUCUUGAGUAUAGUUGAAGUAGGCGGAAUGUAACAUGUAGCGGUGAAAUGCAUAGAGAUGUUACAGAACACCGAUUGCGAAGGCAGCUUACUAAACUAUCACUGACGCUGAUGAACGAAAGCGUGGGGAGCGAACAGGAUUAGAUACCCUGGUAGUCCACGCCGUAAACGAUGAUAACUCGUUGGUGGCGAUAUACAGUCACUGACCAAGCGAAAGUAUUAAGUUAUCCACCUGGGGAGUACGCCGGCAACGGUGAAACUCAAAGGAAUUGACGGGGGCCCGCACAAGCGGUGGAGCAUGUGGUUUAAUUCGAUGAUACGCGAGGAACCUUACCUGGGCUUAAAUGUAGUUUGACCGGUCUAGAAAUAGGCCUUCCCUUCGGGGCAGAUUACUAGGUGGUGCAUGGUUGUCGUCAGCUCGUGCCGUGAGGUGUUAGGUUAAGUCCUGCAACGAGCGCAACCCCUAUUCUUAGUUGCCAGCGGUUCGGCCGGGGACUCUAAGAAGACUGCCAGCGCAAACUGGGAGGAAGGUGGGGACGACGUCAGGUCAGUAUGGCCCUUACGCCUAGGGCUGCACACGUACUACAAUGCCCAGCACAAUGAGAACCAAGACCGCGAGGUGGAGGAAAUCUAUAAAACUGGGCCCAGUUCGGAUUGGAGGCUGCAACUCGCCUCCAUGAAGUCGGAAUCGCUAGUAAUGCCGUAUCAGCUACGACGGCGUGAAUACGUUCCCGGGUCUUGUACACACCGCCCGUCACAUCAUGGAAGCCGGUCGCACCCGAAGUGUAUCCUAAGGUGAGGCUGGUAACUGGGAUGAAGUCGUAACAAGGUAA
This 1466-nucleotide ribosomal RNA is filed under the name uncultured prokaryote. Its description in RNAcentral is "partial 16S ribosomal RNA". It matches the Rfam family "Bacterial small subunit ribosomal RNA". The record is from RNAcentral.